RNAcentral lists this ribosomal RNA (449 nucleotides) under uncultured bacterium. RNAcentral's name for it is "bacterial SSU rRNA". It matches the Rfam family "Bacterial small subunit ribosomal RNA", at positions 354 to 796 of the family's 1533-position model. The record is from RNAcentral.
GUGGGGAAUAUUGGACAAUGGGCGCAAGCCUGAUCCAGCAAUACCGCGUGUGUGAAGAAGGCCUGAGGGUUGUAAAGCACUUUUAAUAGGGAGGAACAUCUGCCGGCCAAUACCCGGUAGUCUGACAUUACCUAUAGAAAAAGCACCGGCUAACUCCGUGCCAGCAGCCGCGGUAAUACGGAGGGUGCAAGCGUUAAUCGGAAUUACUGGGCGUAAAGCGUGCGUAGGCGGUUAAUUAAGUCAGAUGUGAAAGCCCCGGGCUUAACCUGGGAACUGCAUUUGAUACUGGUUAACUAGAGUUUAGUAGAGGAGAGUGGAAUUUCAGGUGUAGCGGUGAAAUGCGUAGAUAUCUGAAGGAACACCAGUGGCGAAGGCGACUCUCUGGACUAAAACUGACGCUGAGGUACGAAAGCGUGGGUAGCAAACAGGAUUAGAUACCCGAGUAGUCC